GACGAACGCUGGCGGCGUGCCUAAUACAUGCAAGUCGAACGCAUUUUCUUUCACCGUAGCUUGCUACACCGAAAGAAAAUGAGUGGCGAACGGGUGAGUAACACGUGGGUAACCUGCCCAUCAGCGGGGGAUAACACUUGGAAACAGGUGCUAAUACCGCAUAAUUCCAUUUACUGCAUGGUAGAUGGAUGAAAGGCGCUUUUGCGUCACUGAUGGAUGGACCCGCGGUGCAUUAGCUAGUUGGUGGGGUAACGGCCUACCAAGGCUGCGAUGCAUAGCCGGCCUGAGAGGGUGAUCGGCCACACUGGGACUGGGACACGGCCCAGACUCCUACGGGAGGCAGCAGUAGGGAAUCUUCGGCAAUGGACGCAAGUCUGACCGAGCAACGCCGCGUGAGUGAAGAAGGUUUUCGGAUCGUAAAACUCUGUUGUUAGAAAAGAACAAGGAUGAGAGUGGAAAGUUCAUCCCUUGACGGUAUCUAAACAGAAAGCCACGGCUAACUACGUG
Molecule: ribosomal RNA, 507 nt
Filed under: uncultured bacterium
Lineage: Bacteria
Description: partial 16S ribosomal RNA
Rfam family: Bacterial small subunit ribosomal RNA
Source: RNAcentral